RNAcentral lists this ribosomal RNA (2896 nucleotides) under Clostridioides difficile. RNAcentral describes it as "23S ribosomal RNA". It matches the Rfam family "Bacterial large subunit ribosomal RNA". The record is from RNAcentral. Lineage: Bacteria; Bacillati; Bacillota; Clostridia; Peptostreptococcales; Peptostreptococcaceae.
UCAAGUUAUUAAGGGUGCAGGGCGGAUGCCUUGGCACUAGGAGCCGAUGAAGGACGUGAUAAGCUGCGAUAAGCUUCGGGGAGUUGCACGUAAACUUUGAUCCGAAGAUUUCCGAAUGAGGAAACUCACUUAGAGUAAUGUCUAAGUAUCAUUAAGUGAAUACAUAGCUUAAUGAGGGGAACUCAGGGAACUGAAACAUCUAAGUACCUGAAGGAAGAGAAAGAAAUUCGAUUCCGUAAGUAGCGGCGAGCGAACGCGGAUUAGCCCAAACCAAUAAAGUUUUCUUUAUUGGGGUUGCGGACAUAUCAUAACGAAGAGGUAUCGUAAUUGAAGAGGUUUGGAAAGACCCACCACAGAAGGUAAUAGUCCUGUAUGUUAAACGAGAAGACUUCAGAUAUGAUCCAGAGUACCACGGGACACGUGAAACCCUGUGGGAAGCAGGAGGGACCACCCUCCAAGGCUAAAUACUACCUAGUGACCGAUAGCGUAUAGUACCGUGAGGGAAAGGUGAAAAGAACCCCGGGAGGGGAGUGAAAUAGAACCUGAAACCCUGCACUUACAAGCUGUGGAAGCACAUUUCUUGUGUGACCGCGUACUUUUUGUAGAACGGGCCAACGAGUUACGUUAAGUAGCAAGGUUAAGCACUUAAGGUGCGGAGCCGUAGCGAAAGCGAGUUUUAACUGAGCGUUCAGUUACUUGACGUAGACCCGAAACCGGGCGACCUACCCAUGAGCAGGAUGAAGCGAAAGUAAAAUUUCGUGGAGGUCCGAACCCACGAGCGUUGAAAAGCUCGGGGAUGACUUGUGGGUAGCGGUGAAAUUCCAAUCGAGCCCGGAGAUAGCUGGUUCUCCCCGAAAUAGCUUUAGGGCUAGCCUCAAGGUGAGAGAUACGGAGGUAGAGCACUGAAUGUCCUAGGGGGUAUUGCACCUACCGAAGACUAUCAAACUCCGAAUGCCGUCAUCUUAUACUUGGGAGUCAGACUGUGGGUGAUAAGAUUCAUAGUCGAAAGGGCAACAGCCCAGAUCGUCAGCUAAGGUCCCUAAAUGUAAGUUAAGUGGUAAAGGAUGUGGGAUUGCACAGACAACCAGGAUGUUGGCUUAGAAGCAGCCACUCAUUCAAAGAGUGCGUAAUAGCUCACUGGUCGAGUGAUCCUGCGCCGAAGAUUUCCGGGGCUAAAACUUACUACCGAAGCUACGGCAUCAGUAAUGAUGGGUAGGGGAGCUUCCCAUACGGGUUGAAGCAUGACCGUAAGGACAUGUGGACAGUAUGGGAGUGAGAAUGUUGGCAUGAGUAGCGAGAUGUGGGUGAGAAUCCCACAGGCCGUAAACCCAAGGUUUCCAGGGGAAGGUUCGUCCGCCCUGGGUUAGUCGGGACCUAAGCUGAGGCCGAAAGGCGUAGGUGAUGGACAACAGGUUGAUAUUCCUGUACUACCGAUAACCGUUUGAGAGAAGGGAUGACACAGUAGGAUAAGCUAAGCACACUGUUGGUUAUGUGUGCCCAAGCAUUGAGGCAGUCAAAGUAGGCAAAUCCGCUUUGAUAAUGCUGGGAUGUGAUGGGGAGCGAAAUUUAGUAGCGAAGUAGCUGAUUUCACACUGUCAAGAAAAGUCUCUAUCGAGGUUAAAGGUACCCGUACCGCAAACCGACACAGGUGGGUGAGGAGAGUAUCCUAAGGCCAGCGAGAGAACUGUUGUUAAGGAACUCGGCAAAAUGACCCCGUAACUUAGGGAUAAGGGGUGCCACCAUCAGGUGGCCGCAGAGAAUAGGCCCAAGCGACUGUUUACCAAAAACAUAGGUUUCUGCUAAGUCGCAAGACGAUGUAUAGGAGCUGACGCCUGCCCGGUGCUGGAAGGUUAAGGGGAUCUGUUAGAGCAAUCGAAGCAGUGAACUUAAGCCCCAGUAAACGGCGGCCGUAACUAUAACGGUCCUAAGGUAGCGAAAUUCCUUGUCGGGUAAGUUCCGACCCGCACGAAAGGCGUAACGAUUUGGGCACUGUCUCAACAACAGACUCGGUGAAAUUGUAAUUCCGGUGAAGAUGCCGGAUACCUGCGACAGGACGGAAAGACCCCAUGGAGCUUUACUGUAGCUUGACAUUGGGUCUUGGUACUACAUGUACAGGAUAGGUGGGAGGCUUUGAAACCAGGACGCCAGUUUUGGCGGAGCCAUCCUUGGGAUACCACCCUUGUAGUACUGGGACUCUAACCAUAGGCCAUGAAUCUGGUCUUGGGACACUGUCAGGUGGGCAGUUUGACUGGGGCGGUCGCCUCCCAAAAGGUAACGGAGGCGCUCAAAGGUUCUCUCAGUACGGUCGGAAAUCGUACGUAGAGUGUAAAGGCAAAAGAGAGCUUGAUUGCAAGACAUACAGGUCGAGCAAGGAUGAAAAUCGGACUUAGUGAUCCGGUGGUUCUGCGUGGAAGGGCCAUCGCUCAACGGAUAAAAGCUACCCUGGGGAUAACAGGCUUAUCUCCCCCAAGAGUCCACAUCGACGGGGAGGUUUGGCACCUCGAUGUCGGCUCAUCACAUCCUGGGGCUGUAGUAGGUCCCAAGGGUUGGGCUGUUCGCCCAUUAAAGUGGUACGCGAGCUGGGUUCAGAACGUCGUGAGACAGUUCGGUCCCUAUCCGUCGCAGGCGUAGGAAAUUUGAGAAGACCUGUCCUUAGUACGAGAGGACCGGGAUGGACGUACCUCUGGUGUACCAGUUGUUCUGCCAAGGGCAUGGCUGGGUAGCUAUGUACGGAAUGGAUAAGCGCUGAAAGCAUCUAAGCGCGAAGCCAACUUCAAGAUAAGAUUUCCCACCGCAAGGGUAAGACCCCAGAAAGACUAUCUGGUUGAUAGGUCGAAGGUGUAAGUGCAGUAAUGUAUUUAGCUUAUCGAUACUAAUAGGUCGAGGACUUGACCAA